CAGCCGCCGCGGUAAUACGUAGGGGGCGAGCGUUGUCCGGAAUUACUGGGCGUAAAGGGCGUGUAGGCGGCCUGUUAAGUCAGGGGUGAAAGACCGGGGCUCAACCCCGGGGGUGCCUCUGAAACUGGCGGGCUUGAGUGCUCUAGAGGGCAGUGGAAUUCCCGGUGUAGCAGUGAAAUGCGUAGAGAUCGGGAGGAACACCAGUGGCGAAGGCGGCUGCCUGGGGAGUCACUGACGCUGAGGCGCGAAAGCUAGGGGAGCAAACAGGAUUAGAUGCCCUGGUAGUCCUAGCCGUAAACGAUGAGCGCUAUGUGUGAGGGGUAUCGACCCCCCUCGUGCAGUAGCUAACGCAUUAAGCGCUCCGCCUGGGGAGUACGGCCGCAAGGUUGAAACUUAAAGGAAUUGGCGGG
Molecule: ribosomal RNA, 410 nt
Filed under: uncultured microorganism
Description: bacterial SSU rRNA
Rfam family: Bacterial small subunit ribosomal RNA
Source: RNAcentral